Molecule: ribosomal RNA, 1419 nt
Filed under: Klebsiella aerogenes
Lineage: Bacteria; Pseudomonadati; Pseudomonadota; Gammaproteobacteria; Enterobacterales; Enterobacteriaceae
Description: bacterial SSU rRNA
Rfam family: Bacterial small subunit ribosomal RNA
Source: RNAcentral
ACAGAGAGCUUGCUCUCGGGUGACGAGCGGCGGACGGGUGAGUAAUGUCUGGGAAACUGCCUGAUGGAGGGGGAUAACUACUGGAAACGGUAGCUAAUACCGCAUAACGUCGCAAGACCAAAGUGGGGGACCUUCGGGCCUCAUGCCAUCAGAUGUGCCCAGAUGGGAUUAGCUAGUAGGUGGGGUAAUGGCUCACCUAGGCGACGAUCCCUAGCUGGUCUGAGAGGAUGACCAGCCACACUGGAACUGAGACACGGUCCAGACUCCUACGGGAGGCAGCAGUGGGGAAUAUUGCACAAUGGGCGCAAGCCUGAUGCAGCCAUGCCGCGUGUAUGAAGAAGGCCUUCGGGUUGUAAAGUACUUUCAGCGAGGAGGAAGGCGUUAAGGUUAAUAACCUUGGUGAUUGACGUUACUCGCAGAAGAAGCACCGGCUAACUCCGUGCCAGCAGCCGCGGUAAUACGGAGGGUGCAAGCGUUAAUCGGAAUUACUGGGCGUAAAGCGCACGCAGGCGGUCUGUCAAGUCGGAUGUGAAAUCCCCGGGCUCAACCUGGGAACUGCAUUCGAAACUGGCAGGCUAGAGUCUUGUAGAGGGGGGUAGAAUUCCAGGUGUAGCGGUGAAAUGCGUAGAGAUCUGGAGGAAUACCGGUGGCGAAGGCGGCCCCCUGGACAAAGACUGACGCUCAGGUGCGAAAGCGUGGGGAGCAAACAGGAUUAGAUACCCUGGUAGUCCACGCCGUAAACGAUGUCGACUUGGAGGUUGUGCCCUUGAGGCGUGGCUUCCGGAGCUAACGCGUUAAGUCGACCGCCUGGGGAGUACGGCCGCAAGGUUAAAACUCAAAUGAAUUGACGGGGGCCCGCACAAGCGGUGGAGCAUGUGGUUUAAUUCGAUGCAACGCGAAGAACCUUACCUACUCUUGACAUCCAGAGAACUUAGCAGAGAUGCUUUGGUGCCUUCGGGAACUCUGAGACAGGUGCUGCAUGGCUGUCGUCAGCUCGUGUUGUGAAAUGUUGGGUUAAGUCCCGCAACGAGCGCAACCCUUAUCCUUUGUUGCCAGCGGUCCGGCCGGGAACUCAAAGGAGACUGCCAGUGAUAAACUGGAGGAAGGUGGGGAUGACGUCAAGUCAUCAUGGCCCUUACGAGUAGGGCUACACACGUGCUACAAUGGCAUAUACAAAGAGAAGCGACCUCGCGAGAGCAAGCGGACCUCAUAAAGUAUGUCGUAGUCCGGAUUGGAGUCUGCAACUCGACUCCAUGAAGUCGGAAUCGCUAGUAAUCGUAGAUCAGAAUGCUACGGUGAAUACGUUCCCGGGCCUUGUACACACCGCCCGUCACACCAUGGGAGUGGGUUGCAAAAGAAGUAGGUAGCUUAACCUUCGGGAGGGCGCUUACCACUUUGUGAUUCAUGACUGGGGUGAAG